RNAcentral lists this ribosomal RNA (633 nucleotides) under uncultured Lachnospiraceae bacterium. Its description in RNAcentral is "bacterial SSU rRNA". It matches the Rfam family "Bacterial small subunit ribosomal RNA", at positions 65 to 704 of the family's 1533-position model. The record is from RNAcentral. Lineage: Bacteria; Bacillati; Bacillota; Clostridia; Lachnospirales; Lachnospiraceae.
CUUUAAAGGAUUUCUUCGGAAUGAAUUUGAUUAAGUUUAGUGGCGGACGGGUGAGUAACGCGUGAGUAACCUGCCUCUAAGAGGGGAAUAACAUUCUGAAAAGAAUGCUAAUACCGCAUAACAUAUAUUUAUCGCAUGGUAGAUAUAUCAAAGAUUUAUCGCUUAGAGAUGGACUCGCGUCCGAUUAGUUAGUUGGUGAGGUAACGGCUCACCAAGACCGCGAUCGGUAGCCGGACUGAGAGGUUGAACGGCCACAUUGGGACUGAGACACGGCCCAGACUCCUACGGGAGGCAGCAGUGGGGGAUAUUGCGCAAUGGGGGAAACCCUGACGCAGCAACGCCGCGUGAAGGAUGAAGGUCUUCGGAUUGUAAAGUUCUUUUAUUAAGGACGAAGAAAGUGACGGUACUUAAUGAAUAAGCUCCGGCUAACUACGUGCCAGCAGCCGCGGUAAUACGUAGGGAGCAAGCGUUGUCCGGAUUUACUGGGUGUAAAGGGUGCGUAGGCGGCUUUGCAAGUCAGAUGUGAAAUCUAUGGGCUCAACCCACAGCCUGCAUUUGAAACUGCAGAGCUUGAGUGAAGUAGAGGCAGGCGGAAUUCCCCGUGUAGCGGUGAAAUGCGUAGAGAUGGGGAGG